Molecule: signal recognition particle RNA, 284 nt
Filed under: Gopherus evgoodei (Goodes thornscrub tortoise)
Lineage: Eukaryota; Metazoa; Chordata; Testudines; Testudinidae
Description: Metazoan signal recognition particle RNA (ENSGEVG00005003912.1)
Rfam family: Metazoan signal recognition particle RNA
About the family: The signal recognition particle (SRP) is a universally conserved ribonucleoprotein.
Source: Rfam by way of RNAcentral
GCCGGGCCCCGUGGCUGGUGCCUGUGAUCCCAGCUCCCGGGGAGGCUGAGGCCGGCGGAUCGCUUGAGCUCGGGAGUUCUGGGCUGCAGCGGGCUGUGUCGAUCGGGUGUCCGCAUUAAGAUCGGCAUCAAAAUGGUGAUUCCUGGGGAGCUUGGGAUCACCAGGUUGCCUAAGGAGGGGUGAACCGGAGCAGGUCAAAACUCCCGUGCCGAUCCGUAGUGGGAUCGCGCCUGUCAAUAGCCCCUGCAGCGUAGGCUGGGCAAGACAGUGAGACACGGUCUCUU